Molecule: ribosomal RNA, 603 nt
Filed under: Salmonella enterica subsp. enterica serovar Hadar
Lineage: Bacteria; Pseudomonadati; Pseudomonadota; Gammaproteobacteria; Enterobacterales; Enterobacteriaceae
Description: partial 23S ribosomal RNA
Rfam family: Bacterial large subunit ribosomal RNA
Source: RNAcentral
AGGGAAACCGAGUCUUAAUUGGGCGUUAAGUUGCAGGGUAUAGACCCGAAACCCGGUGAUCUAGCCAUGGGCAGGUUGAAGGUUGGGUAACACUAACUGGAGGACCGAACCGACUAAUGUUGAAAAAUUAGCGGAUGACCUGUGGCUGGGGGUGAAAGGCCAAUCAAACCGGGAGAUAGCUGGUUCUCCCCGAAAGCUAUUUAGGUAGCGCCUCGUGAAUUCAUCUCCGGGGGUAGAGCACUGUUUCGGCUAGGGGGCCAUCCCGGCUUACCAACCCGAUGCAAACUGCGAAUACCGGAGAAUGUUAUCACGGGAGACACACGGCGGGUGCUAACGUCCGUCGUGAAGAGGGAAACAACCCAGACCGCCAGCUAAGGUCCCAAAGUCAUGGUUAAGUGGGAAACGAUGUGGGAAGGCCCAGACAGCCAGGAUGUUGGCUUAGAAGCAGCCAUCAUUUAAAGAAAGCGUAAUAGCUCACUGGUCGAGUCGGCCUGCGCGGAAGAUGUAACGGGGCUAAACCAUGCACCGAAGCUGCGGCAGCGACGCUGAUGCGUUGUUGGGUAGGGGAGCGUUCUGUAAGCCUGUGAAGGUGUGUCGUGAGGC